UGGGGAGGCACCCCAUUCACAAACCGAUGGUAGGUCUGAACACAUUUCUCUGCACGUGUCCAUAUUAUUGUCUCGCGUCUAAUGCAAAAUUGUUAUGUUUGAGGACAAUUGAUGAGCAAUCACGGAAGCAGUUAGGAUGUAAAUCACUAGUAUAUCUUACCAACGGAUCUGAUCAAUCCUUACGGUCUUCUCCAAAGUGUGGACCCGAGCAGCACAUUUCCCUCCUUUUCACUAAAGUCAGUUCUCACGCCGGUGCCUGAAGAAAACCCAGCCAGUGUCACAAAUGAAGACGUAGAUAUAGAAGGAAAUGACGGAGAAGACAGUCACGCUAACUGCUCCGCUCCCAGGGGCAUCCUGAGGCCAGAGUCAGUUUUAUUGGACACACAGAGUGCAGUCGGGGCAGAGUCUCCCACGGACGCCUGGACUGACCGGAAGCAGGUGAGGUUCAGUUGCAGUGGGGUGAAGAGGCAGGAUGGGAAGGAGCUUGGAGAACACAGCCUGUUGGAUGUGGACGCACUCGCUCCGACAGAGGAGGAAAACGGCAGUGAAGCGGGAAAUAAAAGUGCAGCCGAGCCUGUGCUGGAGCAGCCGGCGAGCAAAUCAACCGAGACGGAGGUGGCAUUGCAAGAUGGCGGCCAACAAGUUAAAAGUGGUCAGUCGGAGCCGUGCCAGACCCCAAAUCAAGUGUCCUGUAUCAUUUCAGCCAGUCAGGAGCCUGGUAAGCCUGUCCAAACGGAGACACCGCCUGAGGACGACCACAUCCCUCAGGCCGCUGAAAAGCAACCGACCAAUGACAGCUCCAAGAAACCCUCUCAUGCAAUCUCACCGACAGCUAAGCAGAAGCUUUUGGAUUUUCAAAAGAGACAAAGCGAAAAACACUGACGCACAAAAGGAGGAGGUGAAGCAGAAAAAAGCACAAAGCGAGGAUUUAGUGAAAGGCUUUUCACAAGAAAAAACGACUGAUGCUGAGACAACACAAGUGCGAACUCUCCAACUCAACGCUAUGCAAAACACUCCUUUCAGUGAAUCAGCAGAUGCCCCUUCACACACAACGGAGGACAGGGAUGCAAAGUCUACAGAAAGCUCAUCCGAUUUGAAAGCAUCCCCAGAGGAGGAAAACAGCAAGCCAAAUACUGCAUCUACUGAAUCUUUUACACACAUUAUUCAGGAAGAUAGGAGUCAAGAAAAUGUGGAAAUCGCAGAGAAUGAAGGGAAUUCUCGAUGUGGA
RNAcentral lists this long non-coding RNA (1228 nucleotides) under Neogobius melanostomus (round goby). RNAcentral describes it as "lncRNA (ENSNMLG00000000015.1)". The record is from RNAcentral. Lineage: Eukaryota; Metazoa; Chordata; Actinopteri; Gobiiformes; Gobiidae.